This 460-nucleotide ribosomal RNA is filed under the name uncultured bacterium. RNAcentral's name for it is "partial 16S ribosomal RNA". It matches the Rfam family "Bacterial small subunit ribosomal RNA", at positions 338 to 795 of the family's 1533-position model. The record is from RNAcentral.
CCUACGGGUGGCAGCAGUGAGGAAUAUUGGUCAAUGGGCGGGAGCCUGAACCAGCCAAGUCGCGUGAGGGAAGACGGUCCUAUGGAUUGUAAACCUCUUUAGGCGGGGAGCCAUGCCGGGCACGCGUGCCCGGAGGGAGAGUACCCGCAGCAUAAGCAUCUGCUACCUCCGUGCCAGCAGCCGCGGUAAUACGGAGGAUGGGAGAUUUAUCCGGAUUUAUUGGGUUUAACGGGUGCGUAAGCGGCUUUUUAAGUCAGCGGUAAAAGUACCGGGCUCAACCCGGGCCGGCCGUUGAAACUGGGGAUCUUGAGUGGGCGAGAAGUAUGCGGAAUGCGUGGUGUAGCGGUGAAAUGCAGAGAUCUCACGCAGAACUCCGAUUGCGAAGGCAGCAGACCGGCGCCCGACUGACGCUGAGGCACGAAAGCGUGGGGAUCGAACAGGAUUAGAUACCCUAGUAGUC